This 888-nucleotide ribosomal RNA is filed under the name uncultured bacterium. Its description in RNAcentral is "bacterial SSU rRNA". It matches the Rfam family "Bacterial small subunit ribosomal RNA", at positions 21 to 889 of the family's 1533-position model. The record is from RNAcentral.
GGCUCAGAACGAACGCCAGCGGCGUGGAUUAGGCAUGCAAGUCGAACGUGAUCCGUAGCAAUACGGUGAAAGUGGCGGAAGGGUGAGUAAUGCAUAGAGAACGUACCCCCGAGUCUGGGAUAACUCCGGGAAACCGGAGCUAAGACUGGAUGGGGUCGCGGGAGCGCCUGCUUCUGCGACUAAAGGUAGCCUCUGAACAUGCCUCCGCUCGGGGAGCGCUCUAUGUCCUAUCAGCUAGUUGGUGAGGGUAACGGCCCACCAAGGCAUUGACGGGUAGCCGGCCUUAGCGGGUGUCCGGCCACAUUGGGACUGAGACACUGCCCAAACUCCUACGGGAGGCUGCAGUCGAGGAUCUUCCGCAAUGGGCGCAAGCCUGACGGAGCGACGCCGCGUGUGGGAUGAAGGCCUUCGGGUUGUAAACCACUGUAACCUGUUAAGAAAGGGCUGGGUGUUAACAGCAUCCAGAACUGACGAAGGCAGGAGAGUAAGCCACGGCUAACUUCGUGCCAGCAGCCGCGGUAAGACGAAGGUGGCGAGCGUUGUUCGGAAUCACUGGGCAUAAAGCGCACGUAGGCGGCGGCGUAAGUCGGGUGUGAAAUCCCUCGGCCUAACCGAGGAACUGCGCCCGAUACUGCGUUGCUUGAGGACCAAAGGGGUGAUCGGAAUUUCCGGUGGAGCGGUGAAAUGCGUUGAUAUCGGAAGGAACGUCGGCGGCGAAAGCGGAUCACUGGUUGGUUACUGACGCUGAGGUGCGAAAGCCAGGGGAGCAAACGGGAUUAGAUACCCCGGUAGUCCUGGCCGUAAACGAUGGGUACUAGGUAGGGGGGUUCCAAACGCCUCUCUGCUGGAGCGAAUGUCUUAAGUACCCCGCCUGGGGAGUACAGUCGC